AAGGGAGACCUAAUUCGGGUAGGAGACGAAAAAAAAGUAGUCCCUACCAAGAAUCAAUCCCAAAAGGUCGGAACGAGGUAUGAGGCUUUCAAACUAGGUUCUGGGUUCAUAAAAGACCUGAAUCAGGAACAAGGGCUAUUAGCUCAGGUGGUUAGAGCGCACCCCUGAUAAGGGUGAGGUCCCUGGUUCGAGUCCAGGAUGGCCCACCUGCACAGGUGGCAAAAACAAGAGAAGCUCCGAAUCAGCACCUUAUCUUAUAUACAUAUAUAAGAGAGAAUGCUGGCUCUGAGUACAGAGUCCAGAGGAACCUUGAAAACUGCAUAGAGCUAGGUGGAAAAGCCAAAAAAGAAGACCGCAA
RNAcentral lists this transfer RNA (358 nucleotides) under uncultured Microcystis sp. RNAcentral describes it as "partial 16S-23S ribosomal RNA intergenic spacer". The stretch from base 133 to 206 matches the Rfam family "tRNA". The record is from RNAcentral. Lineage: Bacteria; Bacillati; Cyanobacteriota; Cyanophyceae; Chroococcales; Microcystaceae.